ACUAUGUAUAUAUAUACAAACAUGAAAACAUAUUUUGCCAUACAUGCGAACUAAGUUCUUCCACACAGCGCUUUUAUUUAUGUAUUUAGUCAAGAGUCAGUCUGCGGGAGCAUUUAGUAGCAGCAGAGCAGCCACAAGAAGUACAGCUAAAGCGAACACGUCGUAACCGAUGGUGAAUUCUGGUACAAGGGCGAAACGAGGAGACAGACGCGUUGGAUGCAUAGAGUGAUAAAAAGGGAAGAGAGAAACAAAUUUCGGAAACGAAAGCUAAACUUGGCAGAGAUGUGCGCAGAGGUGCCCUUUGGAAAAGUGAAACUUGUUACAAAAAUAAUGGGAGUACGCAAAUACAUACGUACCAACAUAAAUAUUAAAUGUCAACGUGCUGUGAAAAUAAUAAAGUGAAAAAGCGCACCAGCAACAAAAUCGACUACACCAAAAAAGUACAAAUUUCCAUUUAAUUUACUACAAGUCAAAUACAGUGACAAGUUUCAAAGAAUAAUAGUAAAAAGCCAGGAAGUACUAUAUCCUGGCGUUCACAAAAUCCUUUUGGAACAUUUAAUACUUCUUACUGGAGUAACUUAAAAUUUACAUUAAUAUAUUCUACUUAGUCGAGAAUUACAAUAAAAACCGAAGAAAAUAUCUAAUUUUUAAGGUACCGGUUAGCUUUAUGUAUGAACAUACAUACAUAUGUAUGCAUGUAUGUUUGUAUUUCCACUGCUUAAGAUUUGGUCAGCGAACUCACACCCACCUGUAGAUGUCAACAACAGCAAUGAACGUGCAGGAUUUUGCGAGACAUGCUCAGGAAAUGCAAUAAAUUAGUGACAAAAGUAACAGCGGCAGCAAUAGCAGUAGCAGAAAGAAGCGAAAGGGAUAGCGGAAAUGAUGUGAAUUCGUUUAUUUAACUGAUUUACUACAUGCUCAAUUACCGAGUAGUACACUUAAGCUACCUCAAACGUGACAUACAUCCUGGCAGCAAUAGAAAAAAUGUUAUGAAGCGCACAAAGUGUUGCACGAUCUAAGUUGAAAAUCGCAUGCGAUAAAAUUUAUAAUCAGCUGCAAAAAGAUCUAUGUUUGUAAAUAAAUCAAAAUAAUUUUUAAAGCAAAACAAAAUCUUUCCAAAAUUCGCAGACCAAAUGAAAGUGUAACAUUAAAAAUAAAGAAGAACACUUAAAAUUAAUACCAAAAAUUGCAAAAACUCAGUUUAUUAAGUAAAAGAAAACCAAUAAAGGCAAAAAAAGGUUUAAGAAGUGACAAACAAACAAAAGGCCAAACACAUAUAACAGCAUUAACUACAGACUUGCCAUGAAAUAAAAGAUAUAAAAACAAA
Molecule: long non-coding RNA, 1327 nt
Organism: Rhagoletis pomonella (apple maggot)
Lineage: Eukaryota; Metazoa; Arthropoda; Insecta; Diptera; Tephritidae
Exons: 2
Source: RefSeq, a predicted model, not a curated record